CCUACGGGCGGCAGCAGUCGAGAAUCAUUCACAAUGGGGGAAACUCUGAUCGUGCGACGCCGCGUGGAGGAAUGAAGGUCUUCGGGUUGUAAACCCCUGUCAUGAGGGAGUCAAUUAAGAAGAUAGUACCACAAGGGGAAGAGACGGCUAACUCUGUGCCAACAGCCGCGGUAAUACAGAGGUCUCAAGCGUUGUGCGGAAUCACUGGGCGUAAAGGGUGCGUAGGUGGUUUCGUAAGUCGGGUGUGAAAGGGGGGGGCUCAACCCGAGGACGGCACAUGAUACUGGGAGACUAGAGUACUGGAGAGGGAAGCGGAAUUCGCGGUGUAGCGGUGAAAUGCGGAGAUAUCGCGAAGAACUCUGAUGGCGAAGGCAGGUUCCUAGACAUUAACUGACGCUGAGGCACGAAGGCCAGGGGAGCGAAAGGGAUUAGAUACCCGGGUAGUC
RNAcentral lists this ribosomal RNA (446 nucleotides) under uncultured bacterium. Its description in RNAcentral is "partial 16S ribosomal RNA". It matches the Rfam family "Bacterial small subunit ribosomal RNA", at positions 338 to 795 of the family's 1533-position model. The record is from RNAcentral.